GUGGAAUUCCUUGGGACCAGCCCUUCGAAUUACUGUUCGCACUAUUUAUUGUGGUGCUGCUGCUAUUGAUGAAGUGAACUACGACGGGAAGGAAAGAAUAGCCGGGGAUGCACACUAAGAUAUCAAAAAACGGGGAAAUUUGUUACAACAAAGAAUAACAUUAAAUAAAAAAGAACUAAUAAUAAGUCUUGACAAUGGUCAAUCUAUGUAAUAGAAAGUUAUUAACGAUAACACAGCGUUGAAAAUGAGCUAUAAUCACUGUACCCACAAUGGAUGUGCAUUAUGUUGUACUGUUUUCUUUCUUUUUCUUUUUAGAUUUGAUCGAUUCUUUGUGAAAAUUAUUGAUAAUCUCAUAUAAUCCUUCAUUUCUUCGACAACAUAAAAGCACAUCCUGUGGUUGAACCGUUUUCCGUCCUGCAUGUCUAUUAUUUUGUUAAUAAGAUUAAAAUAUUUAUUUCCAUCAAGAGCGUACUCUGCAAAAGCCUCAAUGUCUUUAGCUAAUACACGUAUUUGUUCCCAAACCAUUUCGGUAACUCCAACACAAAAAAGCUCAUCUACAAUGACAUUUCUUGACUCUGAUUCAGUUAAUUCAGAAGCUGUACGAUUACAAACUUCUUGUGUAACGUGAAAAAUCUCUGCUUUGAAUCUCUCCUAGAAUACCAGUUAGCCAA
Schizosaccharomyces pombe (fission yeast) is the source of this 671-nucleotide non-coding RNA. NCBI's taxonomy places the organism in Eukaryota, Fungi, Ascomycota, Schizosaccharomycetes, Schizosaccharomycetales, Schizosaccharomycetaceae. The record is from the annotation of a GenBank genome assembly.